RNAcentral lists this ribosomal RNA (451 nucleotides) under Pseudoramibacter alactolyticus. Its description in RNAcentral is "bacterial SSU rRNA". It matches the Rfam family "Bacterial small subunit ribosomal RNA", at positions 28 to 479 of the family's 1533-position model. Lineage: Bacteria; Bacillati; Bacillota; Clostridia; Eubacteriales; Eubacteriaceae. The record is from RNAcentral.
GACGAACGCUGGCGGUAUGCUUAACACAUGCAAGUCGAACGAGAAGUUUUUUAUUGAACCUUCGGGGGAUAUAAGAGACAGACAGUGGCGAACGGGUGAGUAACGCGUGGGCAACCUACCUAUCGGAGCGGGAUAGCCUCGAGAAAUCGGGAGUAAAACCGCAUAACACGGAUAUAUCGCAUGAUGAAUCCGUCAAAACUCCGGUGCCGAUAGAUGGGCCCGCGUCUGAUUAGCUAGUUGGUAAGGUAAGGGCUUACCAAGGCAACGAUCAGUAGCCGGUCUGAGAGGGCGAACGGCCACACUGGAACUGAGACACGGUCCAGACUCCUACGGGAGGCAGCAGUGGGGAAUAUUGCGCAAUGGGGGCAACCCUGACGGAGCAAUACCGCGUGAGUGAAGAAGGUUUUCGGAUCGUAAAGCUCUGUUAUUGGGGAAGAAGCAGGACGGUACC